This 365-nucleotide ribosomal RNA is filed under the name uncultured bacterium. RNAcentral's name for it is "bacterial SSU rRNA". It matches the Rfam family "Bacterial small subunit ribosomal RNA", at positions 30 to 407 of the family's 1533-position model. The record is from RNAcentral.
AUUGAACGCUGGCGGCAUGCCUAACACAUGCAAGUCGAACGGGGUAGCAAUACCCAGUGGCGGACGGGUGAGGAAUACAUAGGAAUUUGCCUUUAGGUGGGGGAUAGCCCGGGGAAACUCGGAGUAAUACCGCAUGAUGUCGAAAGACCAAAGUAGGGGAUCGCAAGACCUUGCGCCUUUAGAGAAGCCUAUGUCUGAUUAGCUAGUUGGUAGGGUAAUGGCCUACCAAGGCGACGANCAGUAACUGGUCUGAGAGGACGAUCAGUCACACCGGAACUGAGACACGGUCCGGACUCCUACGGGAGGCAGCAGUGGGGAAUAUUGGACAAUGGGCGAAAGCCUGAUCCAGCAAUGCCGCGUGUGUG